Molecule: ribosomal RNA, 512 nt
Filed under: uncultured bacterium
Lineage: Bacteria
Description: partial 16S ribosomal RNA
Rfam family: Bacterial small subunit ribosomal RNA
Source: RNAcentral
GAUGAACGCUGGCGGCAUGCCUAAUACAUGCAAGUCGAACGAGAGGAAGGAAAGCUUGCUUUUCUGAAUCUAGUGGCGAACGGGUGAGUAACACGUAGGUAACCUGCCCAUGUGCCCGGGAUAACUUCUGGAAACGGAUGCUAAAACCGGAUAGGUAGCAGACAAGCAUUUGACUGCUAUUAAAGUGGCUAAGGCCAUGAACAUGGAUGGACCUGCGGUGCAUUAGCUAGUUGGUGAGGUAACGGCCCACCAAGGCGACGAUGCAUAGCCGGCCUGAGAGGGCGGACGGCCACAUUGGGAAUGAGACACGGCCCAAACUCCUACGGGAGGCAGCAGUAGGGAAUUUUCGUCAAUGGGGGGAACCCUGAACGAGCAAUGCCGCGUGAGUGAGGAAGGCCUUCGGAUCGUAAAGCUCUGUUGUAAGAGAAAAACGACAUUCAUAGGGAAUGAUGAGUGAGUGAUGGUAUCUUACCAGAAAGUCACGGCUAACUACGUGCCAGCCGCCGCAGUAA